This 446-nucleotide ribosomal RNA is filed under the name uncultured bacterium. RNAcentral's name for it is "partial 16S ribosomal RNA". It matches the Rfam family "Bacterial small subunit ribosomal RNA", at positions 338 to 795 of the family's 1533-position model. The record is from RNAcentral.
CCUACGGGAGGCAGCAGUCGAGAAUCAUUCACAAUGGGGGAAACCCUGAUGGUGCGACGCCGCGUGGGGGAAUGAAGGUCUUCGGAUUGUAAACCCCUGUCAUGUGGGAGCAAAUUAAAAAGAUAGUACCACACGAGGAAGAGACGGCUAACUCUGUGCCAGCAGCCGCGGUAAUACAGAGGUCUCAAGCGUUGUUCGGAAUCACUGGGCGUAAAGCGUGCGUAGGCUGUUUCGUAAGUCGUGUGUGAAAGGCGCGGGCUCAACCCGCGGACGGCACAUGAUACUGCGAGACUAGAGUAAUGGAGGGGGAACCGGAAUUCUCGGUGUAGCAGUGAAAUGCGUAGAUAUCGAGAGGAACACUCGUGGCGAAGGCGGGUUCCUGGACAUUAACUGACGCUGAGGCACGAAGGCCAAGGGAGCGAAAGGGAUUAGAUACCCUGGUAGUU